Molecule: long non-coding RNA, 771 nt
Organism: Lolium rigidum
Lineage: Eukaryota; Viridiplantae; Streptophyta; Magnoliopsida; Poales; Poaceae
Exons: 4
Source: RefSeq, a predicted model, not a curated record
UGCCUGCCGGCGAGAACCGCCUUGCCUUGGCGACGAGAGCCGAAGAUGGAUACGGAGGAGUCAUUGGAGGAACAUGGGAGGAGAGGAGGGAGCCGGAGCACUCAACGCCUCCCACUCCCACAGCUGAGGCGGCGGCGGUAGGAAGCGUUGCGAGUGCUCUCCCUGAUUGGAGCACAAUUUCCUCUCCCUCAUUGGAGCAUGUCAGUAUUUGUGCAUGUUCUUCCCUGGAGAUUCGAUCUGGAUGAGGUGAGCGAGAAUGUCAGGGAAGGGAAGGCCUCUAACGAUGCUCCAGGACCGUCUUGCCACGUCCACCGUGGAAGGGGCCAGAGACGACGACUAGGACUUCUCCCCAGCAACGACAGUGCCCUUUUCCAGGGAUACCAUGUACAUGUAUGAAGACGAGGACUUGCAACUCGGAUUCGAGCAUGUCGGUGGUGAAGCCAGAUGGCAAAGAGGGCGACGAUCAUACUACUCAUCCUCUUCCAGAAAUUGAAGCUGACCUUUCGAGAAAGGCUCCCUUCAGUUCUAUGAUCCAGGGAUUCCGGUACAUGUCAAUAGAGAAUCUGAAGCUAUAACUCUUAUGAAGGCUCAUGUAUGGUGUAAGUGCUUAGGCAAUCUGUUAUCUUCUUUUACCACAUAAACAGUAUUUCAACAUUUCAUAUAUCUCUGUGCUGCCUCUUUAUCUUGGAGCUUUUGUGGGAUCCGAUGAAUAUUUGUAAGCUGCUCCUCUGUGAAUGGGCAGUUAGUAUAAUUCUAUUACUCAGUUGUUAA